GACGAACGCUGGCGGCGUGCUUAACACAUGCAAGUCGAGCGGUAAGGCCCUUUCGUGGGUACACGAGCGGCGAACGGGUGAGUAACACGUGGGUGACCUGCCCUCAGUUCUGGGAUAAGCCUGGGAAACCGGGUCUAAUACCGGAUAUGACUCCAUGACGCAUGUUGUGGGGUGGAAAGCCUUGUGCGGCUGAGGAUGGGCCCGCGGCCUAUCAGCUUGUUGGUGGGGUGAUGGCCUACCAAGGCGACGACGGGUAGCCGGCCUGAGAGGGCGACCGGCCACACUGGGACUGAGACACGGCCCAGACUCCUACGGGAGGCAGCAGUGGGGAAUCUUGCGCAAUGGGCGAAAGCCUGACGCAGCGACGCCGCGUGAGGGAUGACGGCCUGGUG
Molecule: ribosomal RNA, 392 nt
Filed under: uncultured bacterium
Lineage: Bacteria
Description: bacterial SSU rRNA
Rfam family: Bacterial small subunit ribosomal RNA
Source: RNAcentral